UUUAUUUAAUAUUUUAUAUAAAAUAUUUGCGUGUUUAUUAUAGCAAUUUUUAUCAAAUUGUUAAAGUAGGUAGUGGCAAGGUGAGUAAUGUAUUAGCAUUACUUUACGGUCUCUUGAAAUAAGGACUAAAGGUGUUUUUUUUAUAAAUAUAAAUAUUUAUAAAAAUUAUGCGUAAUAAAGACGCCAUCGGUUUAAUUCACAUACAUACAUAUAUAUGUAUAUAUAGGCAUAAAAACCCCAUUCUAAUUUUUUUUUUUAUUUUUAAUUUUGUGAAAUUUAUAGACUAGUCGGCGUUGCUGUAUAAUGUGCUAAUAUGGGAUUAGGUCUUAAACAUUAAAUUGUUUAGCCAGCGAUCUCUAGCUGAUUUGAGAGAGGAAUCAGCCACAUAGGGUAUGAAAACGACCCUACCCUAGGCAGCAGUGGGGAAUUUUGGGCAAUGCGCGAAAGCGUGAUCCAGCAAAUUGACGUGGGUGAAGAAGAUAUUGUUGUAAAGCCUGUUCGUAGGGUAAUAAACAAAGAAUUUAACCUCUAUUUGAAACCAUGGCCAAUACAUGUGCCAGCAGCCGCGGUAAUACAUGAGUGGUGAGCGUUAUUCGUCUUAAUUGGGUGUAUAGGAUACGUAGGUAGUAAAACAGUUUAUAUAUUACAUAAACAACUGCAUGGGUUUUUAUAUAAAACGUUUUACUAGAAUUUUCUGGAAGUUAUUGAGAUCUGUAAAUAAGUGAUUGAAUAUGUCGACUUUACGGGGAUCACCAACGGCGAAAGCAAAUUUCUACAGAAAAUUGACACUGAGGUAUGAAAGCAUGGGGCUCGACUAGGAUUUGUAACCCUAUUAGUCCAUGCCGUCAAAGAUGAGUAUGUGACAAUUACUAUAUUAUAGUAUUCGUCAACAUUAACGUGAAAUACUCCACCUGGGUAGUACAGUUGCAAGAUCGAAACUUAACAAAAUUGGCGGGAAUUUGUUCAAACGGUGGAACAUGUGGUUUAAUGCGAUGGUCCACGAAAAAUCUUACCAAUGCAAAAUCUAAGUAAAUGAUUAUAAAUUAAAAAAACAAGCAUGUUGUCGAGUUUUAAGAUGAAUUCUUAAUUUUGUUUGUUUUUUUUAGUUUAUAUUCUAAUUCAAUUUCUAAUCAAAAAAUUGAUGAUGCUUAGAGUAAAGGUGCUGCAUGGCUGUCGUCAGCUCGUGUUGUGAGACGUGGGAUUAACUUCUUUGACGGGCGCAACUCUUUAAAUCAGUUUUAAAUAAAAAAUAUUUUUUUUUUAAAAGUUAUUUUUUAUUUUUCUGAUUUUUUCAAUUUUUGAAAUUAUGCAAACAUCGCAAAAUUAUUCAUUAUGAUAAUCUAGAGGUGUUUGGGAAGACAAAAGACUGAAGUCAAGUCCUUAUGGCCUGUAUGUGUUGGGCUACACACGUGUUACAAUGGUAGAAACAGAAAGUAACGAUGGAGAAAUCUUGAGUUAAUCUUUAAAAUCUACCCCAGUUCGAAUUGUUCCUUGAAACUCAGGGGCAUGAAGUUGGAAUCGUUAGUAAUCGUAAAUUAGAAUGUUACGGUGAAUGAUUAAUCAAAUUUUGCACACACCGCCCAUCACGCCCGGAGAUAGAAGGUGGCUGAGAGUCAAAAAAAAAUAUUA
RNAcentral lists this ribosomal RNA (1629 nucleotides) under Candidatus Riesia sp. RNAcentral's name for it is "16S ribosomal RNA". It matches the Rfam family "Bacterial small subunit ribosomal RNA". The record is from RNAcentral. Lineage: Bacteria; Pseudomonadati; Pseudomonadota; Gammaproteobacteria; Enterobacterales; Enterobacteriaceae.